This 475-nucleotide ribosomal RNA is filed under the name uncultured bacterium. Its description in RNAcentral is "bacterial SSU rRNA". It matches the Rfam family "Bacterial small subunit ribosomal RNA", at positions 30 to 507 of the family's 1533-position model. The record is from RNAcentral.
UUGAACGCUGGCGGCAUGCUUUACACAUGCAAGUCGAACGGUAACAGGUUAAGCUGACGAGUGGCGAACGGGUGAGUAAUGCAUCGGAACGUGCCCGAUCGUGGGGGAUAACGCAGCGAAAGCUGCGCUAAUACCGCAUACGAUCUGAGGAUGAAAGCGGGGGACCGUAAGGCCUCGCGCGAUCGGAGCGGCCGAUGUCAGAUUAGGUAGUUGGUGGGGUAAAGGCUCACCAAGCCGACGAUCUGUAGCUGGUCUGAGAGGACGACCAGCCACACUGGGACUGAGACACGGCCCAGACUCCUACGGGAGGCAGCAGUGGGAAUUUUGGACAAUGGGCGCAAGCCUGAUCCAGCAAUGCCGCGUGCAGGAAGAAGGCCUUCGGGUUGUAAACUGCUUUUGUACGGAGCGAAAAGGCCCUCUCUAAUACAGGGGGUUCAUGACGGUACCGUAAGAAUAAGCACCGGCUAACUACGUG